GCUUGUCUCAAAGAUUAAGCCAUGCAUGUCUAAGUAUAAACAACUUUAUACAGUGAAACUGCAGAUGGCUCAUUAAAUCAGUUAUAAUUUAUUUGAUGAUUAACUUUACUACAUGGAUAACCGUAGUAAUUCUAGAGCUAAUACAUGCGAAAAGUCCUGACUUCUUCGUGAGGGAGGGAUGUAUUUAUUAGAUGGAAACCAAUGCGGGGCAACCCGGUAUAUGGUGAUUCAUAAUAACUUUCGGAUCGAUCUUCGGAUCGAUGCAUCAUUCAAGUUUCUGCCCUAUCAGCUUUGGAUGGUAGGGUAUUGGCCUACCAUGGCUUUAACGGGUAACGGAGAAUUAGGGUUCGAUUCCGGAGAGGGAGCCUUAAAAACGGCUACCACAUCCAAGGAAGGCAGCAGG
RNAcentral lists this ribosomal RNA (403 nucleotides) under Ochromonas marina. RNAcentral's name for it is "partial small subunit ribosomal RNA". It matches the Rfam family "Eukaryotic small subunit ribosomal RNA", at positions 30 to 432 of the family's 1831-position model. Lineage: Eukaryota; Chrysophyceae; Chromulinales; Chromulinaceae. The record is from RNAcentral.